RNAcentral lists this ribosomal RNA (1343 nucleotides) under uncultured bacterium. RNAcentral describes it as "16S ribosomal RNA". It matches the Rfam family "Bacterial small subunit ribosomal RNA", at positions 28 to 1378 of the family's 1533-position model. The record is from RNAcentral.
GACGAACGCUGGCGGCGUGCUUAACACAUGCAAGUCGAACGGAAAGGCCCUGCUUUUGUGGGGUGCUCGAGUGGCGAACGGGUGAGUAACACGUGAGUAACCUGCCCUUGACUUUGGGAUAACUUCAGGAAACUGGGGCUAAUACCGGAUAGGAGCUCCUGCUGCAUGGUGGGGGUUGGAAAGUUUCGGCGGUUGGGGAUGGACUCGCGGCUUAUCAGCUUGUUGGUGGGGUAGUGGCUUACCAAGGCUUUGACGGGUAGCCGGCCUGAGAGGGUGACCGGCCACAUUGGGACUGAGAUACGGCCCAGACUCCUACGGGAGGCAGCAGUGGGGAAUAUUGCACAAUGGGCGGAAGCCUGAUGCAGCAACGCCGCGUGCGGGAUGACGGCCUUCGGGUUGUAAACCGCUUUCGCCUGUGACGAAGCGUGAGUGACGGUAAUGGGUAAAGAAGCACCGGCUAACUACGUGCCAGCAGCCGCGGUGAUACGUAGGGUGCGAGCGUUGUCCGGAUUUAUUGGGCGUAAAGGGCUCGUAGGUGGUUGAUCGCGUCGGAAGUGUAAUCUUGGGGCUUAACCCUGAGCGUGCUUUCGAUACGGGUUGACUUGAGGAAGGUAGGGGAGAAUGGAAUUCCUGGUGGAGCGGUGGAAUGCGCAGAUAUCAGGAGGAACACCAGUGGCGAAGGCGGUUCUCUGGGCCUUUCCUGACGCUGAGGGGCGAAAGCGUGGGGAGCGAACAGGCUUAGAUACCCUGGUAGUCCGCGCUGUAAACGGUGGGUACUAGGUGUGGGGUCCAUUCCACGGGUUCCGUGCCGUAGCUAACGCUUUAAGUACCCCGCCUGGGGAGUACGGCCGCAAGGCUAAAACUCAAAGGAAUUGACGGGGCCCCGCACAAGCGGCGGCGCAUGCGGAUUAAUUCGAUGCAACGCGUAGAACCUUACCUGGGUUUGACAUGGAUCGGGAGUGCUCAGAGAUGGGUGUGCCUCUUUUGGGGUCGGUUCACAGGUGGUGCAUGGCUGUCGUCAGCUCGUGUCGUGAGAUGUUGGGUUAAGUCCCGCAACGAGCGCAACCCUUGUUCACUGUUGCCAGCACGUUAUGGUGGGGACUCAGUGGAGACCGCCGGGGUCAACUCGGAGGAAGGUGGGGAUGACGUCAAGUCAUCAUGCCCCUUAUGUCCAGGGCUUCACGCAUGCUACAAUGGCUGGUACAGAGAGUGGCGAGCCUGUGAGGGUGAGCGAAUCUCGGAAAGCCGGUCUCAGUUCGGAUUGGGGUCUGCAACUCGACCUCAUGAAGUCGGAGUCGCUAGUAAUCGCAGAUCAGCAACGCUGCGGUGAAUACGUUCCCGGG